GAGAACGCGGUUAAAGACAGAUGGAGAGGUUAUUUUCAUAAUCUUUUCAAUGAAGGACAUGAAAUGAGUGUUUCUUUAGAGGAGUUGAGUAACUCAGAAGAGUGUAGAAACUACUCUUUUUAUCGUCGAAUCCGGAAGGAAGAAGUGGUUGUAGCUUUGAAGAAGAUGAAGCAUAGAAAAGUAGUAGGCCCAGACGAUAUACCAAUCGAAGUGUGGAAAGUUUUGGGAGAGACAGGUAUAACAUGGCUCACUGACCUUUUCAAUAGGAUUUUGAAAACGAAGAAGAUGCCAAAUGAGUGGUGAACGAGCACUUUGGUGCCUAUCUACAAGAAUAAGGGCGACGUACAAAAUUGCAUGAACUAUAGGGGUAUUAAGCUAAUGAGUCAUACAAUGAAGCUUUGGGAGAGAGUCAUUGAGCAUAGAUUGAGGCAAGAGACACGAGUUUCGGACAACCAAUUCGGGUUCAUGCCAGGGCGCUCAACCAUGGAGGCAAUCUAUCUCUUACGAAGAUUGAUGGAAAGAUAUAGAGAUAGGAAAAAGGAUUUACACAUGGUCUUUAUAGAUUUGGAGAAAGCGUAUGAUAGGGUCCCAAGAGACAUUCUUUGGAGGAUUUUAGAGAAGAAAGGAGUACGAGUAGCAUAUAUCCAAGCUAUAAAGGAUAUGUAUGAAGGAGCAAAGACUGCCGUAAGAACUCAUGAAGGACAAACUGAAAGCUUUCCCAUAACUGUAGGAUUACAUCAAGGCUCAUCCUUAAGUCCUUACCUUUUUGCGUUGGUAAUGGAUGAGUUAACAGGACAUAUGCAAGAUGAUAUUCCUUGGUGUAUGCUUUUCGCAGACGAUAUAGUGUUGAUAGAUGAAACUCAGGAAGGGGUAAAUGCAAAGCUUAACCUUUGGAGAGAAGUGUUGGAAUCUAAAGGUCUUCGCUUAAGCCGAUCAAAGACAGAAUAUAUGGAGUGCAAGUUCAGUGCAAAUGGAGGCCAAAACGAGUUAGGGGUGAUAAUCGGAGAUCAAGAAAUACCAAAGAGCGACCGUUUUCGUUACCUAGGAUCUAUCUUGCAAAAGAACGGAGAAUUAGAUGGAGAUCUCAACCAUAGAAUACAAGCUGGAUGGAUGAAGUGGAAGAGUGCAUCCGGCGUGUUGUGUGACCGCCGUAUGCCACUGAAGCUCAAGGGAAAAUUUUAUAGGACGGCAAUAAGGUCGGCGAUGCUGUAUGGCAUAGAAUGUUGGGCGGUGAAGCAUCAACACGUACACAAAAUGGGUGUAGCGGAGAUGAGGAUGUUUCGUUGGAUGUGUGGGCACACGAGAAAGGAUAAGAUUAGGAAUGAGGAUAUCCGGGGUAAAGUAGGAGUAGCCGCAAUUGAAGGAAAGAUGAGAGAAAAUCGGUUACGGUGGUUUGGACAUGUGCAAAGAAGGCCUACUGACGCUCCGAUUAGAAGAUGCGACUAUGGGACAGAGGUUCAGGGCCGAAGGGUAGAGGAAGACCUAGGAAAACUUUGGAAGAGACUCUAAGAAAAGACUUAGAGUACUUGGAUCUAACGAAGGAUAUGACACAGGACCGAGCACAAUGGCGUUCUAAGAUUCAUAUAGCCGAUCCCACUCAGUGACUUGGAUUUUCCAAGUCUCAAACCGAGAAGUUUUCCUCACUCAGGAAAUUAAGGGAACACUACCUCAACCUACAUGCUCCACUCACAAAGCUUCAACAAAAGAAAAUUCAAAGAACUUAGCGAAGAAGGCUUUGGUGUAAUUAACACAAUACGUUGAAAUGAAGGAAAGCUUAUUUAUUGAUAUCCCUGAUAAGCUACAAAUAUGUACAUACACAUAAGUCAAAAUAAACAAACAAGAGGGAGCCUUCACAAAGGUUGCUUGGGAGAAGUCUCAGCAGUCGGUAGAGCCCCAGAAAGAGAAGGCACCGGACGGGGAUCAUUCGGAGCCUCAGUACUGGACAGAACCCUAGAAGGAGGAGGCAUCAGAGGUUGAUCAUUUGGAGCUUCAUUACGCGGUACAGCCCCAGAAGACGAAGGCAAUAAAUGCCUUUGGAAUAAACCCACAAAUCUCUGAUGAUCAAGUAAAACCUGACCAUCAGAUUCCUUCAUCUGGUCAAGCUUCCUCUUCAUGUUUGUAGCAUAGUCAUGUGCGAGCCGGUGCAACUGUUUAUUCUCAUGCUUGAGCCCUCUAAUCUCCUGUUUGAGAUUCAUCACUUCAGCCGCCAAUGAUUUAACUUGGCGGGUUCGAGCAAAUAGGCGUUGGGCCAUAUUAGACACAGAACCUGCACACUGAACACUGAGAGCCAGAGAAUCCUUAACAGCUAACUCAUCAGACCGUUUGGAAAGUAGUCUGUUAUCUUUGGGAGUGAGAAGGUUCCUGGCCACCACCGCAGCGGUCAUAUCAUUCUUCAUCACGGAAUCCCCAACGGUAAGAGGACCAGUAGGGGAGACGAAGGAUGGGCGCCAUAUGUUGUCUGGAGAAGGCAGAGCUGCCUCUUCAACAAGGUUCAAGUCAAAACGACGGUCGGAGGGGCCAGACAUUUUUCAAAGGUGUUGAAGAGAGAAGAGGUCGGACAAAUCAAGAUCUUAGAAGUGCAAGAAUGAAGCUUCUACUGGUGGAGAUUCAAGUGUGCUUUGGAACUUAAUGCCAUCCCUUAUAAAAAUCUCCACUCGACAGAGCUUCAGAAAUCGAAGAGGCGCCUGCUCAGAAAUUGAAGAGGCGUUUGCUUUCUCAAAAGCUGGGCUGCUUAAAGACCACGAGGGUCGAUCUCAGAAAUCGAAGAGGCGUUUGCUUUCUCAAAAGCUGGGUUGCUCAAAGACCACGAAGGCCGAUCUCAGAAAUCGAAUAGGCGCUUGCUUUCUCAAAAGCUGGGCUGCUCAGAGACCACGAGGGCCGAUCUCAGAAAUCGAAGAGGCACCUACUUUUCCAGCCUUGUCAGCACCUGUCACCGCACACUCAGCUUUGCGGAAAUUAUAGGCAUUCUGUUGAAGACUUCUGGUGAAGUAGAAAGCACAUGAGUCUUACUGUUCAAUCACCCACUUCCCACACGCAAUAGUAGCUCAUAGGUACCACAGAUAACUUUGCCAAAGUUCUCUGCCAAAGUUGAGCACGUGAAGCUUGCAGCUCCCACUACAUCGCUCUGACCAAGAAGGGUAAAAGAAUAGCAAAGAAACAGCACUAACAAAGUUUAGACACAUAAAUUUUGUAGGUCUAGCUACCAUAUUAUUACCCACAAGGGUAAAGGAACAGUACCACUGCUGGAUAAUUGGAAAGUUCCUGUGUGUCAACCUCUGUGCUUCGUGGCAAGGUAGACUAGCAAACAUGCCCAACCUUUACUCACAUUCGAGAAAACACUCCCAACAAGUUUGCUUGCUCCAAAAUCGAAGAGGCACCGCCCUCCGAAUCUCGAGAGCCAGACUCCCAACAUGAUUACUUUCUCAAAAAUCGAAGAGACACCGCUCUCCGAAUCUCGAGAGCCAGACCCCCAGCAUGAUUGCUUUCUCAAAAAUCGAAGAGGCAUCGUUCUCCGAAUCUCGAGAGCCAGAUCCCCGAUAGGAUUGCUUGUUCAAAAACCAAAGAGGCAACACUUUCCCAACUUCAAGAGCCGGAUCUCCUUGGAUAAAGCUGUCUGUAAUCUUCACACGCAACAUCACCUUUCCAGAUACCACAGACCACUUUUUCAAAGUGCUCUGACAGAGUUAAAACAUGUGAAGCUGGCAACUCCCACUACCGUGCUAUGACCAAGUAGGGUAAAGGAAUAACAUUACUACUUGUUGUUAAGGAGACUCCUAUAUAUGUCGACCUCCAUCCCCAACGGACAGGCAGACCUGCAAAAAUGCUCAACCCUUCCUCAUAUCUGAGAGGGCACUCCCAACGAAGCCUUUCGAAAUAUUCAGCUUUCUUUCCCCCCGAUAAUAUCUCUGCAAACAAGCUAUACUAGAGCAAGAAUAUCUCAUAUCAUCAGGGUGAAAAGCAAGAGUAUCCCAUAUCAUGCUUUUUCCCUGUCUUUUCCUUUGGCCUUGUUCUUAUCUGCAAGACAAGGAGAAAGAGAGCAAUCAGUCAGCACUUGGAAUCAAGCUUCCAGCCAGGAACUGACUGCCUGGAACCCCUUACCUGAUUACUUACCUACCAUUGCUCUCGAGUACUUAUCUUCAAUAUCUUAUGCUUCCAAGGAAGAUACCGCAUCUGCCUGAGGAACAGAUAGGGCAAGGGAGAAGGAUACAAGGAAGCAUGUGGAGACAAGCGAAACAGCACACGUGCCGAUACAUCCAUUACUCUGUUAAAGCAAAAGUAUCCCAUAUCAGCAGGGUCGAACGUACUCUAGAUUUGAUGGACUUGUUUUGACCCUCAAAUUCUUCAGUCGGUCUUAUACUCUGGAGGAAACCAGAAAACCCUCCAGCUCAGUUCAAGAAUAAGCCUGUGGAAAGUUACUUCUUCAAAAGCAAAAGUAUCCCAUAUCAUCUCUUCUCAUUUUCUUCUCUUUAUCCUUCAUGCUGCCUGCAAGAUAAGGAGAAUGUGAACAAUCAGCCGGAGCUCUGAUUGCUUACCUUGUCUGUCACCUCUUUCAGCAGAUCCUCUAGCUCGGCGACUUGGGGGACUCCUACUACAUGGUUUGUAUCGCGCUUGACCAAGCCUGAAACUACAAGUAAGCUUCAAGUGAAAUUGAUACAUUACCUUGUGCAUCUCCACCAGUUAAAGAUACCACCCCUGGAUGGAGGAAGAGUACUUCCAGAGAAGAUGCCACAUCUACCUAUGAGACAGAUAAGGCAAGUCAAGACGAUACCGCACUCCGAUACUUAGAAGUUUCGUGAUUACGAGAUCAUUCUCCCACAAUAUUUCCUAAUGUCAUUUGUACUAAAUCAUUCACUUGUACUCACUAAAGGAGAGCUUGAACCUAUAUACUUGUGUAAACCCUUCACAAUUAAUGAGAACUCCUCUAUUUCGUGGACAUAGCCAAUCUGGGUGAACAACAUACAUCUUGUGUUUGCUUUCCUGUCUCUAUCCAUUUAUAUACUUAUCCACACUAAUGACUGGAGCAAUCUAGCGAAGAUCACAAAAAGCGACCGUUUUCGCUACCUAAAGUAGGAGUAGACUACGGGACAGAGGUUUAGGGCCGAAGGGGUAGAGGAAGACCUAGGAAAACUUUGGAAGAGACUCUAAGAAAAGACUUAGAGUACUUGGAUCUAACGGAGGACAUGACACAAAACCGAGCGCAGUGGCGUUCUAGGAUUCAUAUAGCCGACCCCACUUAGUGGGAAAAGGCUUUGUUGUUGUUGUUGUUGUUGUUGUGUUGUUCUUGUCUUUGUGAUAGUCCUAACAAGAUAUUUACCCCCUAUCCGAGCUUUGACUAUAUGAAAUGCCAUUUUUCCAUUUAACUUUUGAAUUUUGUGUUUAACGUUGAAAUGAAUUUUACAUUUAUGCCCUCUCUUUUUCUCGGCAUAGAAGAAUAAUUACGACACUAAUGAAGUCCCUGCUCUCUUCCAAGUAGCCAAAUCCAGUUUUCUUAGGUAUGAAUUCUCAUUUCAUUUUCAUCAUUACAUGGCCUAAAGAUCUGGCAGUUUUGUAUUUUGGUUAUGAGAGGGGUUUGCUUUUCUUGUUAUUGUUAAUGAAAAAACUGUUGUAACUUGCUUGAAUUACAUGGCCUAAAAGUUGUGGAUUUUGUCGGAUUUCUUUUGUCAAAUUGUUGCUUUCCCCAUGUUUUAGUUGAUUGGAUUUCUAGCUUUCCUUCCCUUUGGAUAAAAAGGAGAAAAAGGGAGGCCAAAAACUGACAUCCUUUGAUUGUCUCUAGUGGUGGAGUUGGUAGGAUUUGUUGAAGUUGUAUAAGGUGUGAAGUGUUUAGUAUUCUUGCUUGAGAUGGUAGUCAUCAACUCCCUGACCCAAUAUUUGGCCCAAAGCAAGAACUAUUACUAUGUGUUGGAUACGUGAAUACAGUGUGACCUUGUAUUUACUCCAAUGUUAUCCCUGGUUGUUGUGCUUUGACAUUUGCUUUGAUUUUUCCCUUUUGAUUGAGAGCUUCCUUGGCUAUAUGCCCCAGUUUAUCGGUCGCUUAAGACAAUGUUUCUUGAGCAACUUUACCACUUUAGAAUGGAAAUGUUUCUUUGAUACGGGGAAUUUGGCAAAUUUGUCCAUUUCAUUAUCAGACCCUCACCCUGUUCCAUUCAAAAUAAACAUUUGGAACAUGAGAAAUCUUUGGCCAAUCUUCUCCUGUAUCGUGCUGGCAUCUCCUCUCCAGAUCAGGACACUUUGGUUGUAAGUUUUGUUAAGGCAGUGAGGCGAUUCAUCUCCUCUGGCAAAGACAACAGUUUGGGACAUGAUCUGAGGCCAAGCAUUUUAAGCGAUGUGAAACUCAUCAACCACCUAGGUAAUGCCUCCAAAUUCUCACAAUCUAAUAUAGACUUGACUUGUAGUGUGUGUUGUGGCUCCUUGAAACCAUUCUGUUGUUUGCCCUAAUUUAAUUUUUACACGAAGGGAAAGCAGAUGGAGGAGAUAGAUCAAAGACAGGUUUAUGCUCGAAAAUGUGUCUCGCCCCUCUCACAAGACACCACUUAACAGAAAGACAGAUGGAGAGGUUACUUUCAUAAUCUUUUUAAUGAAGGACAUGAAAUGAGUACUUCUUUAGGGGAGUUCAGUAACUCAGAAGAAUAUAGAAACUACUCAUUUUAUCGUCGAAUCAGGAAGGAAGAAGUGGUUGUAGCUUUGAAGAAGAUGAAGCAUAGAAAAGCAGUGGGCCCAGACGAUAUAUCGAUCGAAGUGUGGAAAGUCUUGAGAGAGACAGGUAUAACAUGGCUCACUGACCUUUUCAAUAGGAUUUUGAAAACGAAGAAGAUGCCAAAUGAGUGGCGAAAGAGCACUUUGGUGCCUAUCUACAAGAAUA
Molecule: long non-coding RNA, 6859 nt
Filed under: Malus domestica (apple)
Lineage: Eukaryota; Viridiplantae; Streptophyta; Magnoliopsida; Rosales; Rosaceae
Description: long non-coding RNA (MDOM_LNC013752)
Source: RNAcentral